UGAACGCUAGCUACAGGCUUAACACAUGCAAGUCGAGGGGUAGCAGGGUAGCAAUACCGCUGACGACCGGCGCACGGGUGAGUAACACGUAUCCAACCUUCCCAUAACUCAGGGAUAGCCUUUCGAAAGAAAGAUUAAUACCUGAUAGUACUUUUUCAAGGCAUCUUGAGAAAGUUAAAGAUUUAUUGGUUAUGGAUGGGGAUGCGUUCCAUUAGAUAGUUGGUGAGGUAACGGCUCACCAAGUCUUCGAUGGAUAGGGGUUCUGAGAGGAAGGUCCCCCACAUUGGUACUGAGACACGGACCAAACUCCUACGGGAGGCAGCAGUGAGGAAUAUUGGUCAAUGGGCGAGAGCCUGAACCAGCCAAGUAGCGUGAAGGAUGAAGGUCCUAUGGAUUGUAAACUUCUUUUAUAGUAGAAUAAAGUGAUCCACGUGUGGAUUUUUGUAUGUAUACUAUGAAUAAGGAUCGGCUAACUCCGUGCCAGCAGCGGC
This 491-nucleotide ribosomal RNA is filed under the name uncultured bacterium. Its description in RNAcentral is "bacterial SSU rRNA". It matches the Rfam family "Bacterial small subunit ribosomal RNA", at positions 30 to 518 of the family's 1533-position model. The record is from RNAcentral.